This 501-nucleotide ribosomal RNA is filed under the name uncultured bacterium. RNAcentral describes it as "partial 16S ribosomal RNA". It matches the Rfam family "Bacterial small subunit ribosomal RNA", at positions 30 to 523 of the family's 1533-position model. The record is from RNAcentral.
AUUGAACGCUGGCGGCAUGCCUUACACAUGCAAGUCGAACGGCAGCACGGGUGCUUGCACCUGGUGGCGAGUGGCGAACGGGUGAGUAAUAUAUCGGAACGUACCUUAUUGUGGGGGAUAACGCAGCGAAAGCUGUGCUAAUACCGCAUAAUCCCUUAGGGGGAAAGCGGGGGACCGUAAGGCCUCGCGCAGUUAGAGCGGCCGAUACCUGAUUAGCUAGUUGGUGAGGUAAAGGCUCACCAAGGCGACGAUCAGGAGCUGGUCUGAGAGGACGAUCGGCCACACUGGGACUGAGACACGGCCCAGACUCCCACGGGAGGCAGCAGUGGGGAAUUUUGGACAAUGGGGGCAACCCUGAUCCAGCAAUGCCGCGUGAGUGAAGAAGGCCUUCGGGUUGUAAAGCUCUUUUGUCAGGGAAGAAACAGCAGCUCUAACACAGUAUGCGAAUGACGGUACCUGAAGAAUAAGCACCGGCUAACUACGUGCCAGCAGCCGCAGUAA